RNAcentral lists this transfer RNA (74 nucleotides) under Phycisphaerae bacterium. RNAcentral's name for it is "tRNA-Met". It matches the Rfam family "tRNA". Rfam says of the family: Transfer RNA (tRNA) molecules are approximately 80 nucleotides in length. Their secondary structure includes four short double-helical elements and three loops (D, anti-codon, and T loops). Further hydrogen bonds mediate the characteristic L-shaped molecular structure. tRNAs have two regions of fundamental functional importance: the anti-codon, which is responsible for specific mRNA codon recognition, and the 3' end, to which the tRNAs corresponding amino acid is attached (by aminoacyl-tRNA synthetases). tRNAs cope with the degeneracy of the genetic code in two manners: having more than one tRNA (with a specific anti-codon) for a particular amino acid; and 'wobble' base-pairing, i.e. permitting non-standard base-pairing at the 3rd anti-codon position. The record is from RNAcentral. Lineage: Bacteria; Pseudomonadati; Planctomycetota; Phycisphaerae.
GGCUUCGUCGCCCAAUUGGCAGGGCAGGCGUCUCAUGAGCGCUGUGGUGCAGGUUCGAAUCCUGUCGAAGCCAC